GACGAACGCUGGCGGCGUGCUUAACACAUGCAAGUCGAACGGAAAGGCCCUGCUUUUGUGGGGUGCUCGAGUGGCGAACGGGUGAGUAACACGUGAGUAACCUGCCCUUGACUUUGGGAUAACUUCAGGAAACUGGGGCUAAUACCGGAUAGGAGCUCCUGCUGCAUGGUGGGGGUUGGAAAGUUUCGGCGGUUGGGGAUGGACUCGCGGCUUAUCAGCUUGUUGGUGGGGUAGUGGCUUACCAAGGCUUUGACGGGUAGCCGGCCUGAGAGGGUGACCGGCCACAUUGGGACUGAGAUACGGGCCAGACUGCUACGGGAGGCAGCAGUGGGAAAUAUUGCACAGUGGGCGGAAGCCUGAUGCAGCAACGCGGCGUGCGGGAUGACGGCCUUCUGGUUGUGAACCGCUUUCGCCUGUGACGAAGCGUGAGUGACGGUAAUGGGUAAAGAAGCACCGGCUAACUACGUG
Molecule: ribosomal RNA, 468 nt
Filed under: uncultured bacterium
Lineage: Bacteria
Description: partial 16S ribosomal RNA
Rfam family: Bacterial small subunit ribosomal RNA
Source: RNAcentral